Molecule: long non-coding RNA, 673 nt
Filed under: Sus scrofa (pig)
Lineage: Eukaryota; Metazoa; Chordata; Mammalia; Artiodactyla; Suidae
Description: lncRNA (ENSSSCG00030019424.1)
Source: RNAcentral
UCUAAAUGUGCCCUUGGGUUUAGAUUUGUGACCUUGGCCCCCUGGGCAGCCCCAGCCACGUGGCCCAGAUGAUCACUAAGCCACCCAUUGUGUCAGAUGCAUUUCCUAUUUUGAAGCAUUUUUGUCAUGAUAUUAUGUUUGUAUUUACCCGCAUGAGGCAAAAAUUACGUAUUGGAUUAUUGUCUUCCCACUCUGAUGCAGAAGCAGAAGCUGCCCAUAUGCUACGGUGUCAACUAUGCAGAUGGGCCCAGAUCAGCCAACAUGACACACAUCAAGUUGAACAGAAACGCCCACAGGAGCCUGGAAGAAGAUGCCGUCAGGAAUUGACAAGAAGCAUUUCGGCAGCUUAGUCUCCCUUUUCCUCCUCUCAAGAAUAAGGGUGAUGUUGUCAGCCUCUCAGAUGGUUGAGAAAAUGACUUAGCCUAGUGCCUGACACCCAGAAACUGCUCCAUGUAAGCGCCCCAUCCCCGUUGCUGUUCCACUGGAGAGAAAUGGAAACAAGGCUGUGGUAAACGACAUGCUUGGAUUGCAGCUAGACCUUGCAGCUUUUCAGGGAAUUGCGCCACAGAAAUGUGAGUUCCCUCAAUUUUCUCAGAUUCAUGAGGUGCAGGAAUAGAGUACAUACAUUGAUUUUUGCAGCCAAUAAAUAGACAAAGACCAGGAAAGGGAAACA